This 272-nucleotide ribosomal RNA is filed under the name uncultured Microbacterium sp. RNAcentral's name for it is "partial 16S ribosomal RNA". It matches the Rfam family "Bacterial small subunit ribosomal RNA", at positions 1 to 273 of the family's 1533-position model. Lineage: Bacteria; Bacillati; Actinomycetota; Actinomycetes; Micrococcales; Microbacteriaceae. The record is from RNAcentral.
AGCUGAGUUUGAUCCUGGCUCAGGAUGAACGCUGGCGGCGUGCUUAACACAUGCAAGUCGAACGGUGAAAGAGAGCUUGCUCUCUGGAUCAGUGGCGAACGGGUGAGUAACACGUGAGCAAUCUGCCCCUGACUCUGGGAUAACAGUUGGAAACAGCUGCUAAUACUGGAUACGAGACGUGAAGGCAUCUUCAACGUCUGGAAAGAACUUCGGUCAGGGAUGAGCGUCGCGGCCUAUCAGCUAGUUGGUGAGGUAACUGGCUACGACCAAGG